Molecule: long non-coding RNA, 527 nt
Organism: Belonocnema kinseyi
Lineage: Eukaryota; Metazoa; Arthropoda; Insecta; Hymenoptera; Cynipidae
Exons: 3
Source: RefSeq, a predicted model, not a curated record
GAUUUUAACAAUCCGUGCCAGAACUAGGCAAUGUAUUGCAAUACCAGUCUCGACUACAAAAUUGACCCAAGGGUACCUCUCGUUGCUAUACACAAAACUGGAACUCUUCAUAGGAAAUGCAGCAGUUUUUAGUAAAGAUGGCUACUGCCACAUGUUGACAAUUAAUACUACCCAAUCCAACGUGGACAUUAAUAUUCCUUCACACGAGUUGAUCUUGUUCGAGAUUAUCAAUCGCUUCUGUUAGAAUGGCAUUGAAUUUGGCAGCGAUGAAUUUUCCGAGGGGAAUCCACACUUCAGAUGCUUCGAAUCAAAUAGUUAAACUCACUCGUCUGAGAGUUGUCGACAAUAGCGAAAUUGGAAAAAAAGCCAUGAGGAACAAUUAGCAUCAACGUUUCCAACAUUGGUGAUAUCUUUUACCUAAGCUGGAUUCGCUUUUCUUGCAUUAGGAGAUGAUUUGACUGAUAAGUAUUCUCAUCGAGCUGACUGAUUAAGUUUAAUUAAUUUUAAUAAUAAUGUCAGGUUAUGAG